UUAUGCCCAGGUCUGGAUCGGUGUCCAGUAUGAGUUGCCUCCUUUGAGGCAGACAGAGCUGAGACAGAACAGGAAAUCUGCCUUAUUAUGGUGCUGGGCUAAUCCUCCUGCCAUGGUAUGAACCACCUCCCCAUGGCAUUGGGCUAUGAUUUCAUUAGACAGGGAGCAGCUUUACCUUCUAGAAGGGCCCAGAGGAGACAUCCUUCCAGCCUCAGAAACAUCCCUGACGUUUCUAAAGGGGCGAAGGACAUCUCCUGAAAUCAGAGAGAGAGGAGGGUUAACACUGCAAGGCCUGAGUCUCUCCUAUCAUUGCAUGCACAUGUACAAACACACGCAUGUCGCCCAGACACUGCAUUUGGGAACAACGUGAAAGAAACCUGAAAGCUC
Molecule: long non-coding RNA, 387 nt
Organism: Mauremys reevesii (Reeves's turtle)
Lineage: Eukaryota; Metazoa; Chordata; Testudines; Geoemydidae
Exons: 3
Source: RefSeq, a predicted model, not a curated record